This is a long non-coding RNA of Pogonomyrmex barbatus (red harvester ant), 1462 nucleotides long. RefSeq lists it as uncharacterized. NCBI's taxonomy places the organism in Eukaryota, Metazoa, Arthropoda, Insecta, Hymenoptera, Formicidae. The record is from RefSeq and is a predicted model, not a curated record.
GUGCUAUCGCGCUUUGCAGCGCGAGAGCGAUACCGUUCCGCCGAUGGAACCGAUCGAGUCUGCACAGCAGAAUCAAAUCCCACGAUCGCACUGAGCUGAAGUUAAAUGGAGCUACUGGAUAGGAAAAGGAAGGGACGUCGCCUCUUCGAAAUUCUCGAAAAGGAAAAGGAAGAGAUAACGAGCGCGAGAGAAAAUGGAAUUAUAUCUUCCGAGGCGUCGCCAGGCCGGUUUCGCGUCGCUCGUACGCGGAAACGUCGUAUUCGUUCGGAUCCGUCCACGUGAUUUACGUCGCGGAGUGCGGGAUUUUUUAGUCAAAGAUCGUCGCUCGUCGACGACAAGCGCGCGUUUCGCGAGCGCCUCUGACUGCCCGGCUGGACGGUCGUGAGCCAACUGAUAGGUGUAUGAAUGAAGCGGCCGAGAUUUCAGUCACUCUCUGUCUUUGCAGGAAAUUCAAAAGCCCACGUCGACGACGACGAUGACAAAAAUGAGUAGUGCUGCUCCUUGCGAUCGAUUUCUCGCGAUUUGCGGAUUUGCGCGACACUCGCCGACAUAAAAUCGCACAAGUCGUCUGCCGUGUGCUUUCGCACACUUUCGGAGUAAAAUUUCGCCGCGACAUUUCCUUCGGUUGUUUACAAAGAGAAGCGUGUGGAUUUUGCGAAUUUUGCAGACUUUUGUUCCAUCAACGAAGCACUCGUGCGACGCACAAAGAAAUUUUAUUGCGAUAAUCUAAAAUUAGUAGAACCGAGCGUUGUCGGUUUUGCCUGUUAAUGAUUACUUAGAUUCUUACAUUAGAAACAAUAAUCAUAAAAAAAAUAAUUAAUAUUUUAACCGCUUUUAUUUCGCGAGAUAAUACUCUGUAAAUUGUGUUUUUUAACAUUUUUUUCAAUCAUCAUGACGAUUGAUAACGUCGAAAGAUUAGAAAGAUUAGAUCGAGCGACGAUAAUAAUAAUUAAAUAUUGAAUAGGAAAAAUGUUAAAGAGAAUUGACAUUUCUUCAAGAAUAAGAGGUUCGACGACGGGAACGCAUAACUUAACUUUAUCUAAUGCGAUAAAUUUUCAGCGAGUCUAAUGAAUCAGAGUGUGGGCGACGACCUUUUCCUUUUCCGUUUCUACAUGCUAAAGUCAUUUUGCUAGUAUGCAACACGAGCAGCUAUCAUAUUAUUAUACAAACAUUUUUUGCUUUUCUGCGUUACUAAGAGCCAUCAACCUUGACCGUCGCGAACGAUACUAAUUGGCCAUUAAAGAGACACGAUAAUUUCGCCUACCGGCGACCUCGGUAAUGCUCCGAGUUUGAAUCACGUUUGGACGAUCGAAGAGAUAGCAAAAAUGUAUUAAUGCCCAAUAGUGAUCAGUCAUGCGCUACUUUCAUCGUUGCAAAAUUAUCUCAAAUUAUUUUAUCUAUAUCUGUAUGAACAUUUCCUCCUAUGACACAUAAACACAUAUACCAUCGUUGAAAAUGAAAA